Molecule: ribosomal RNA, 1314 nt
Filed under: Triticum aestivum (bread wheat)
Lineage: Eukaryota; Viridiplantae; Streptophyta; Magnoliopsida; Poales; Poaceae
Description: partial small subunit ribosomal RNA
Source: RNAcentral
AUGACCAUAAUGGGAACGGCGCUCCUUCGUCUGCUACCUCUGCUGCUCCUCCUCCUCCCGCCUCCCCUCCGCCACUACCUCUCGCCAGCAAGCGGCGGUGGGGCCAGCCAGCUCAACGUCUACCACCCCAUCAUCCUGCUCCCUGGCUUCAGCUGCUCCAACCUCGAGGCACGGCUCACCGACGCCUACGCGCCGUCGCUGCCCCGCUGCGGUGCGCUCAAGGGCAAGGGGUGGUUCCCGCUGUGGAACGACACCUGGACCAUCGUCAACCACGAUUACCUGCCCUGCUUCGUGGAGCAGAUGAGCCUCGUCUUCGACUCCGACCUCGACGACUACCGCAACCUAGCCGGCGUAGAGACGCGUGUGCCGGACUUUGGCUCCGCCCACAGCGUCACCCCCAAGAACAACGCGGGUCGUGACAAAGUCUGCCUGAUAAAGCUCCGCGACGAGCUGGAAGCACUGGGAUACCGCGAUGGAGAUACCCUCUUCGGAGCUCCUUACGACCUACGACACGCUCCACCGCCGCCCGGCCAGCCAUCCCAGGUCUACUCCGAUUACUUCGCUCGUCUCAUGGGCCUGGUGCAGCACGCGAGCAAGAAGAACGGGGAUAAGCCUGUCAUCCUGGUCGCGCAUAGCUUCGGCGGCAGGGUCGUCCUGGACUUCCUCAACUCGACGCCCUUGCCGUGGAGGCGAAGGUUCAUCAAGCAUUUGUUCCUAAUCUCGCCCUCGCCCCCCACGGGCUACAUGCUGGCGGUCACCAACUUAGCCUCAGGAUCGUCCGCAGUCCAGCUCCCAACCGUCUCAUCGCUUGCCUUGCGGCCGAUGUGGAGGACCUUCGCGAGUUCCUUUCUGUCCAUGCCGGCUCCCAGGGUAUUUGGCCACAGGCCGCUCGUCGUCACCAAGGAGAGGAACUACUCGGCGUAUGACUAUCCUGAUUUCCUUGCGGCGCUCGGUUUCAGCACCGACGAGAUCGUGCGCUUCGUGAAACGGGUGCUCCCGACAAUGCUGCGCGUCGACGCGCCGAUGGUGCCGACUACGUACCUCAAUGGCAUUGGCUUCCGGACAAUGGAGCAGGUGAUGUACCUGGAAGGCAACUUCGAUGCCGCCACGGAGACGGUGUAUGGCCACGGAGAUGGGGCCGCGACUCUUGCUAGCAUCUUGGCGUUCGCUAGGGAGUUGGGUUCGCAACAACGACGAAACAACACAUUCUUCAAGUUCGUCAAGAUUCCUAAUGCUACGCACGCUGGCAUUGUCAUCGAGGAACAUGCACUCCGUAGGGUCAUGGCUGAGAUUCUACAAGCUAAUAAUAGCUAA